Molecule: long non-coding RNA, 1864 nt
Organism: Erinaceus europaeus (western European hedgehog)
Lineage: Eukaryota; Metazoa; Chordata; Mammalia; Eulipotyphla; Erinaceidae
Exons: 3
Source: RefSeq, a predicted model, not a curated record
UCACACUUACUACUCCACUAUUGACUGCACAGAGUGCCAGAGUGGAAGGGUAGGGAUGACUAGUAAGUGGACUCCUUCCUGCUUCAAAAUAAGGACCAGCUGCCACCAAGCAGGUUCCCUUCCUUUCUCAGAGCCUGGAUCCAGAAGAGAACCUGUCUGAUGACAAAGUCCUCCCUCCUCAAGAUCAGAUUGGAAAUUUCCACAUCAUGACUGUAGCCAGGAAAACCCAGGAAUGGUGUCCAUUGCAAGGGCCUUCAGAAACUGGAACUCAAGGAGCCAAAGAAGGAAACUGGGGAGGGAAGAAACAGAUGUUGAGGUCCCUGGAGACAGAACAGGUUCUUGUUCCCAUAAGAGCUCUCUUGUCACAAAGUAUGAAGCUAUCUGUAAGCUACUAGGUUCCAGAUGCUACCAUGAUGCCAACCUGACUUCCCUGAGCUGACAACCUCACCAAUGUGUCCUGGAGCCCUGCCUCCCCAGAUCCCUGCCCCACUAAGGAAAGAGACACAAGCUGGGAGUAUGGAUCCACUUGCCAAUGCCCAUGUUCAGCGGGGAACCAAUUACAGAGGCCAGAACUUCCAUCUUCUGCACCCUAUAAUGAGCCUGGCUGGGUCCAUACUCCCAGAGGGAUAAAGAAUAAUAGGAAAGCUAUCAAGGGAGGGGAUGGGAUACGGAGUUCUGUCGGUGGGAACUGUGUGGAUCCCCACCCCUCUUAGCCUAUGAUCUUGUCAAUAGUUCCAUUUUACAACUAAAAAUUUUAAAAAAUCCAAGUUCUUUCCAUGAUCCACAAGACUCUCAACUUUUCUUAUGAGCUCAUCUUAUCUCUUUCCUUCACUGAGUUUCUUUAUUAAAAAAAAAAAAAAAAAAAAAAAAAACCCUUAGAAUGUUUCAUUAGUGUUUGGAUAGUGGUUUAAAAGAUUAUAAAAUUACAAGAGUACAGUUCCACCCAUCUCCUCCAAUAACCACUAUACUCCUCACAGUCUUAGAGAGAGCUUAUAGUUUGGGUACUUUUUUUUUUUUAAGUCCAUGUGCUUCAAUGAUCUGUAUUUUUUUUUUUUUUUUUUUUGCAUAGAGUAAUGCUCCAUUGAACAUAUGUUCAUCCCAUAACUACUUUAUCCAACUGUCUGUCAAUGGGCAUUCAGGUUUAUUCCACUCUCUGAAGCUAUGAACACAGAGUGUGUAUUUUUCUUUUGAACUAAUGUAUUCAUGUCCUUUGGAUAUAUACCCAGGAGUGGCAUUGCUGGAUCAUAAGGUGUUUCCAUUUGAGGGCUCUCCAUGUUGCUCUCCAGAGGGGCUCUGCUUAGUUUGCAUCCCACGAACACUGUAACUAAGUUCCUUUUCCUCAACAGCACCCGUACCUGUCAUUUCCUGUUUUGUUGAGCUAUGCCAUUUGUUGAGAUAGGCCAUUGUUUGUUGAGGUAGGGAUCUCUAUGUAGUUUAAAUUUGAAUAUCUCUUAUAAGUGGAACAUUUCUUUAUAUGGCUGUGGGUCAUGCGUAUCUCUUCUUUAGAAAACUAUUCUGAUCUUUUGAGUACUUUUUAUUGUUGUUCCUUUUGUUGAGCUGUAUGACUUCGUUAUUGGUGUUUGAUAUUAAUCGCUUGUCAGGUACAUGAUAUACAAAUAAAUACCCUCUCCCAAUUACUGGGUUGCCUGUUUAUGCUCAUGUAGCUUGCUUUUGAUGUGUAGAAGCUUUUCAAUUUGAUACAGUCCCAUUUAUUCCAUAUUAUAGUAUUUUCCACUUAUUGGACAGCUUCACAUAUGUGGAAUCCGGUGAUCUGAUACACAUGAACUUGGAAAAAUGCAACAAUAUAGAAGCAAGCAAAUUGUUUCUAAGACUUGUGAGAGCUAUCAUGGCUAUCUUUGGGGAG